GGUGGGGACCUUAGGGCCUGUCGCUUAGAGAGGAACCCGCGUCCGAUCAGCUUGUUGGUGAGGUAAUGGCUCACCAAGGCUUCGACCGGUAGCUGGUCUGAGAGGAUGGUCAGCCACACUGGGACUGAGACACUGCCCAGACUCCUACGGGAGGCUGCAGUCGAGGAUCAUUCGCAAUGGGCGAAAGCCUGACGAUGCGACGCUGCGUGGAGGAUGAAGGCCCUCGGGUCGUAAACUCCUGUCAUGAGGAAAAAUUGUUUCGGUGCGAAUAACGCCGGAACUUGAUGUUACUUCAAGAGGAAGCCACGGCUAACUCUGUGCCAGCAGCCGCGGUAAUACAGAGGUGGCGAGCGUUGUUCGGAUUCACUGGGCGUAAAGGGUGCGUAGGUGGUUCCGUAUGUCGGAUGUGAAAUCCCGUCGCUCAACGGCGGAAUGGCAUUCGAAACUGCGGUUCUAGAGUGCAUGAAGGGAGAGCGGAAUUCUUGGUGUAGCGGUGAAAUGCGUUGAUAUCAAGAGGAACACCGGUGGCGAAGGCGGCUCUCUGGAAUGCUACUGACACUGAGGCACGAAAGCUGGGGGAGCAAACAGGAUUAGAUACCCUGGUAGUCCCAGCCGUAAACGGUGUACACUUGGUGUUGGGGGAGUUGACCCCUCAGUGCCGGAGCUAACGCGUUAAGUGUACCGCCUGGGGAGUACGGCCGCAAGGCUAAAACUCAAAGAAAUUGACGGGGGCCCGCACAAGCGGAGGAGCAUGUGGCUUAUUCGAUGCAACGCGAAGAACCUUACCAGGGCUUGACAUGUAACUGCUCAUCCUGCGAAAGCAGGACUCUUUCGAAGGUGUUACACAGGUGCUGCAUGGCUGUCGUCAGUUCGUGCCGUGAGGUGUUGGGUUAAGUCCCGCAACGAACGCAACCCCUGUGGUUAGUUGCCACCGCCGGUGAUGAGCCGGCGAGCACUCUAGCCAGACUGCCCCGUUUAACGGGGAGGAAGGUGGGGACGACGUCAAGUCAGUAUGGCCCUUACGCCCUGGGCUGCACACGUGCUACAAUGGCCGGUACAGAGGGAUGCAAGACCGCGAGGUGGAGCUAAUCCUUAAAACCGGCCUCAGUUCGGAUUGAAGUCUGCAACUCGACUUCAUGAAGUUGGAUUCGCUAGUAACGGCGUAUCAGCUACGACGCCGUGAAUACGUUCCCGGGCCUUGUACACACCGCCCGUCACAUCAUGAAAGCCGUCUGCACCCGUAGUCGCUGUACCAACCCGCAAGGGAGGAA
Molecule: ribosomal RNA, 1271 nt
Filed under: metagenome
Description: bacterial SSU rRNA
Rfam family: Bacterial small subunit ribosomal RNA
Source: RNAcentral